GAUGAACGCUGGCGGCGUGCUUAACACAUGCAAGUCGAACGGAAAGGCCCAAGCUUGCUUGGGUACUCGAGUGGCGAACGGGUGAGUAACACGUGGGUGAUCUGCCCUGCACUUCGGGAUAAGCCUGGGAAACUGGGUCUAAUACUGGAUAGGACCACUUCUUGGAUGUUGUGGUGGAAAGUUUUUUCGGUGUGGGAUGAGCUCGCGGCCUAUCAGCUUGUUGGUGGGGUAUUGGCCUACCAAGGCGUCGACGGGUAGCCGGCCUGAGAGGGUGUACGGCCACAUUGGGACUGAGAUACGGCCCAGACUCCUACGGGAGGCAGAAGGGGGGAAUAUUGCACAAUGGGCGCAAGCCUGAUGCAGCGACGCCGCGUGGGGGAUGACGGCCUUCGGGUUGUAAACUCCUUUCGCUAGGGACGAAGCGUUUUGUGACGGUACCUGGAGAAGAAGCACCGGCUAACUACGUG
Molecule: ribosomal RNA, 467 nt
Filed under: uncultured bacterium
Lineage: Bacteria
Description: partial 16S ribosomal RNA
Rfam family: Bacterial small subunit ribosomal RNA
Source: RNAcentral